CCUACGGGAGGCAGCAGUGAGGAAUAUUGGUCAAUGGACGAGAGUCUGAGCCAGCCAAGUCGCGUGAAGGAUGACUGCCCUAUGGGUUGUAAACUUCUUUUAUAAAGGAAUAAAACGAGGCACGUGUGCCUUUUUGCAUGUACUUUAUGAAUAAGGAUCGGCUAACUCCGUGCCAGCAGCCGCGGUAAUACGGAGGAUCCGAGCGUUAUCCGGAUUUGUUGGGUUUAAAGGGAGCGUAGAUGGGUUGUUAAGUCAGUUGUGAAAGUUUGCGGCUCAACCGUAAAAUUGCAAUUGAUACUGGCAGUCUUGAGUACAGUUGAGGUAGGCGGAAUUCGUGGUGUAGCGGUGAAAUGCUUAGAUAUCACGAAGAACCCCGAUUGCGAAGGCAGCUUACUAAACUGUGACUGACAUUGAUGCUCGAAAGUGUGGGUAUCAAACAGGAUUAGAUACCCCAGUAGUC
RNAcentral lists this ribosomal RNA (460 nucleotides) under uncultured bacterium. Its description in RNAcentral is "partial 16S ribosomal RNA". It matches the Rfam family "Bacterial small subunit ribosomal RNA", at positions 338 to 795 of the family's 1533-position model. The record is from RNAcentral.